UUACGUUCAUAUGACUUUGAAAGACCGGUUCCCGUACGACCACCGAAGUUAAGCAACGUCGGGCCUGGUCAGUACCUAGAUGGACAAACACUUGGGAAUAGCAA
Molecule: non-coding RNA, 104 nt
Organism: Acanthosepion pharaonis
Lineage: Eukaryota; Metazoa; Mollusca; Cephalopoda; Sepiida; Sepiidae
Source: the annotation of a GenBank genome assembly